Long non-coding RNA from Metopolophium dirhodum (rose-grain aphid), 6179 nucleotides. RefSeq lists it as uncharacterized. The record is from RefSeq and is a predicted model, not a curated record. The transcript has 5 exons. NCBI's taxonomy places the organism in Eukaryota, Metazoa, Arthropoda, Insecta, Hemiptera, Aphididae.
CUUUUGAUAGUUAUUUUAGUGUUAGAUGUCAGUAGAAAUGAAUGUCUAUACUUCUAUUAUAUUUGUGCUUAAAAUGAACAGUAGGUACAACUUAUUUUAAAAGUAAAUGGAUAUAUUUUAUAAUAGUGAAUGGUUAUUCAUAUAUAAUUUUAAUCUACUAUAAUAUACUUCCAUAAAGUAUGAUUAUAAAUAAAAUGGUUAAUCACACAUUAUUAUAGUAAAUUUAUUUUUUGUAAUAAACUGUUGCAGUUUCUAUAACAUUGUGAUCGCAGUUAGAAGUGCGUAAACCUUGACUUUUCGGAAAAAGUUAAUUUUGUCGCAGUUUACAUACAGCUAAAAAGUGCACGGAAAUAAGUGGUGGUGUUGGUCGUCGUUGUCUCCGUCGCGGUAUUCGUCGUCGUCGCCGCCGCCGCAGUCGUUCGCUGCUCGUCGUCCACCCGACCCGCCAACUUCUGCGGGCGGCUCCGCGCGGGAAGUCCCCCGUCGUCUGCCAGAACGAAGCAAUGGAAGUUCGGCGCCCCGUAAACCCUCCCGCCGGUCCACGACCCCGCAAACGCACACAGCUUACGACUCGCCGCCGCCCAAAGUCACCGCCCACCCGACAUCGUCGUCACGGAAACGCGGGCCCAGCCCUCUCUGGACUUCCCAUCGCCGUGACUUUGCCCACGGCCACCGACCCUCCGCUCGCUAUCAUUUUCGCCCGAGUCUGCAGCCGGCGUCCACCGCUACAGCACGUUCGUCGUUACCAGCCACGCGGCGUCUGCCGCCGCCGCCGCUGCAGCCUUUCAUUAAUUUUUAAUUUAAAUUUCUACCUUCUUCUUCUCUACCCCUCCCUCACCUAUCAUCAUCACCUCAUCAGAUCACCACCACCGCAACCACAGCUUAAACUAUAAUGGUCGUCCUCGAAAGCGCUUGUGACGGACUGGAAGCUUCAACCGCGACAGCAACACGUCGAAAACACGGCGUAUAAUAUUGUGGAGAAAAAAAUUCACAAAAUGGAAAGGCUAAAGACAUCAGUGGCGCAGACGUCAUCCGACACCCCCACAUUUCGAGCCUCAGAGCAUGUUACGUGCAGGCCGAUGGUAAAAUCAGUAAAAUAAAGUCGAUCGAAGUCUGUCGCAUGCACAGCCGUCGGAUCCGUCUGGAUCUAUACUCAGCUUUUGCAGUCUGUCUCCGACGUAUCCCACUUAAACCUGGUUUGUUUUUCGUUCCAAACAUUGUUGAGCAACCUAAAUUAUAAAAGAUUUUUAUUCAAGAAUUCGGAAAAAAAAAUAAUUACUUAGCCAUAUACCUAACAUAAUAUAAUCAUUGCCUAUACAUUGGCCGGCACGUGCAUUAUCAUUUCGUUUCAUUUGCACGCUAGUUAAACGGCUGUAAUUUUAGUUUUUGUUUGUUCCCACAACGAUAUAUUAUAUAGUAUUCAACCAAGAAUAACAAAACGAUGAAACAUAUGACUAAUGUUAAGAUUAGCGUAAGUCAAAAAAGGUCGGUCAGGCGUCGUAAUAAAAAAAAGAAAAAAGAAAAAAAGAUGAACAAUUAUUACGCCGGUCGACCUUUUCUUAGUGUUUAAGAUCAAUUUCGAAGACUGAUUUUGUGUUACCUCACUUUAAAUUGUUAAAUUACGAGAUGAGCCACAUAAACGUAGGUUGGUAGGUAUUGUAAAAUAUAACGUUACGUUUAUGCGCGAUAAUGUAGGUAUUGAGUGUAUUAAUACGAUAUUAUUACUAUUAUUAUAAUUAGUAUUGCAACAUUGAUAUUGAUAUCAUUUAUUGUUUUAUACAAAAGCAAUAAAAUCACAAUGUCUUCCAUUAAAUUAAUAUUGUCUUAUUGAUAAUGAUUAUAACUAGAUUAAGUGCAUGCUGUAACGCGCGUUACCCGUUACACUGGUAACGUUAUGUUUACAUGCGCGUGUACAAUGUGUACAUACAAUAUAAUAUAAUAUAAUAUAAUAUAAUAUAAUAUAAUAUAAUAUGUUAACACGAUAUUAUAAUGUUUAGUUAUAAUAAUAAUUUAUCUUUAAGCCUUUUACAUUAUGGGGUGGUUUAAGUAAUUUAUUAUAGUUAUUAUUUUGUAAAAAGAAAAUUAUUAAUGAAUAAUGAUAAAUAUAAAUCGUUUUAUUUGAUAAAUACUGGCCCUUUGAACCGGGAGUGACGUUUGACAAUAAAAAAUACAUUAGGUCCACGUGCCAGAAAUAUUAUUAUUAUUAAUUAUUAUGUUUUAGAUAUAGGUUAGUUAGUUAGUUGUCAUUGUAUUUUUAAUCUUUAUUAUUAUUAUUAUUAUUAAUUAUUAUUGUUACAAUUAUUAAUAUGUAAUGUGUAUUUUAAUUAUUAUUCUAAUUUUUGGGCAUGAACUAUUAUGUAUAGUGAUAAAUAAAAAGACACAUUAAAAUAAAACCACAUCAAUGAUAGGAAAUUUGAUCCAUUUUUAAGUUCUGUUUUGGAAAUUGAGCGUUAGCAAAACUAUACUUGAAAUAUUAUGAUGACAUCAUUAAAUUAUUUACGAAAAUACGUGUAUUAUACUAUUAUAGGCAAUAAGCGAUUGAUUUUAGAUACAUUUAAAACACAUUGAGCCCGGGUGGAAUUCCCGAAAUUCUUCUCACCCAUCCGACUGACACUCUCACAUUUCAAAAUAAUCUUAAAGGGGCUGUGAAUAUAAAUAAUAUAGUAUUCAACAUAAAUACUGAAUUUAAAAUUUUACUCAUUGAUUAAACAUUAAGAUAUAUUGUAAAAAAUAUCGUAUUUCACAUUAUAGCAGCAAAUUAAUUUGCAUAAACAUUAAAAAUGAACUAGUAUAGGACAAAAAACCAAUAUUUUAAAAUACAUUUUAAAAUAAAAUCAACAAAUUCAUCGUGAAAAUUAUUUAAAAAAUUAAAUAAUUUUAAAUUGAACACAAUACAUAUAAAUAAAUCCUAAUGGGUCUGUUCGUGUGUCUUUAAUAAGGGGCAAUACUUAGGCAAUUUGCAAUUUCGUUGCAACCAUCCAUGGCAUUUGUGUUAGUUGUCAAUGAUGAUUAGUGUGAGUGUGAUUGUACACGGGUACUGGGCUAUCUAAGCACUGCAUGUGUACACAUAUUAACGGCACCACCAAUCGAAAAUAAAGAGCAUGAUUUUUUGCCCAAUAUACGCUUUACAGGAAAAGCUCUCAUUUGUCGUAGAGUGGUCUGAUUUGAUAAUUUUUUUUCGUUAGAAAGAGGAUAACUUAUUACGGGACACUUUGGACGUCGAUUUUUAAUUUCUUUGCUUAAAAUAAACACAAUUAAAAUAACAAAAGCUAGUAAAAAUUUAUUAUAUUCAAAAUCGUAUCAUAUGUUUUAGAAAUAGAAAUUUGAAAAUCCAAGUCUAAUGCACCCUGUAAAAAGUGUUUCUCUUUCAAAGAAAAAAAAUUAUCGAAAUCGGAUCAUUCUAAGAAACAUGACAGUUUUUCCUACAAGGCAUGUUUUUGAUCAAAAGAACAGAACACUUGCAGGCCUCUUAAUUAUCUAAUAUCUAAUAUCUAAUAUCUAAUCUAAUCAUAACAGUUUCUUCAGUACACUUCAACAUUAAGAUGUUAUUAAGUAUUUUAAUCAGUGACAUAGUAACAGGGGGAUUUUAGGGAUCACUCCUCCUUCCCCGAAAUUCAGUUCUAAGUAAGCCACUGAUGUCAAUAAGACAACAAUAAUUGAUGAAAUUUACAUAAGCUGGUGAAGAAAAUAAAUGGAAAAUAAAUUUAAAUUUACAGCCCUAAUAAUGAUAUUUUCUAACUAUGUGUGUCGAUCCAAUUCUGCGCCUAUAAUAUUAGGUAAAUUAUUUUAUGAUAUUUGCCACAAGCAAUUUAAAGGUAUAUUUUUUCAUCGAAUAUUCGUAUCGCACAAACACCGUAUCUAUAAGGCAUCCUCGUAAAAGAAAAUCUGGUAUAAGCGAAUUUCAAAAAUUCCCUUACGUUCUUCCCUGGCUUAUAUUUAGGAGCGCCUAGAAACGUUUAAAAUGUUAUAAUGUUAUAAGUACCAUUCUCAGUUAUAUUAUAUAAUUUGGAAAUAAUAAUACAUUAAUACUUAACCGUGCGUAUAUUUUGUAUUACAAAUGUAAAACUAUAUAACAUAGAUGAUAUAGAUAAUUUUAUUAAUAUUAUUGUAAAAACCUAAUAAUAACUUAAACACAUGAUAUUGUUAUGUGCGCGGUAUUAAAAUUCGGAAAUUCGGAAAUUGUAUAUUUGUGGGUUCACAUUAUACCUAAUAUUACAUAAUAUAUUAUUGUAUUGAUAAAUGACUAGUUUUUGUAUUAUGAUGAGUGAUGACUAUAACAAUUGGCAAGUUGAUAGGGCAGUGAAUUGAUUGCCCCGAUAAUAUGUUCAAAAAAUGUUAGAUAAACCCCAACAUAAUAAUGUCUAUUAAAAUUUUUUUAUUUCACCAACAAAUUAAUAAAAAUAUUGUUGAUCAGACAAAAAAUGUUAGAAAUAAAAAGAUUUUAUCAAGAAAGGUACAUAGAUACCAAUAUUUAAAAAUAUUAAGUUAUACAUAAUUUUUAAUUAAAUUCAGUAAUAUUAAAAAACCAUUAAUAAUAACACCUUAAAUAAUAAAUUACCCAACAUGAAUAUUUGUAAAAAAAAUAGACAAUUUUUAAUUUCAAAAUAUUAUUGAAAGAUAUAUAAAUAUGUAAUAAAAUAUAUUAUGUACCUAUACCAGAGGUAUGCUUUAAAUAAUCAAUAUGCAAUAUUUUAUUUGGUAUAGUAAUUUGUAUUUCACUAAUUAUGAUUUUUAAAUAAAAUCAAUAAUUAUAAUAUGUAAAUUCCUAAAAGUCGUAAAAUUCAUAGAUCUGAUCACAGAUUUUCAGCUAAAAAAUAUAUACAUAAUAAUAAUAAACAGGGCUUGGAUUUGUAAGCAAAUGCAUAUUAAUAAGUAUUUUACUUAGAACUACAAUUUUUAAUGCUAAAAUCUUAUAUUUAAAUAUUUCAUAUUUCUGGGAAAAUAUUAGUAUUAACUACAUAUUUAUAAGCAAAUGCAUAUUAAUUGGCUAAUUUAUAAAAAAUUUAAUCAACAUUCAAAUUGUACCUAUUUAUUUUUUUACAAUAAUAUACUGUCAAAAAAUCAUGGAUACUCUGAAUAUUAAUAAAAUAAUAAUUAUUAAGAAAUGUGAGAAAUAAUUUGAAUGUGAUAAAGUUCAAGAACAAAUCUGAAGAAUAUUGGAGUUUUUUCCCGAUUUAAUUAUACAUCUAUAUUGUAUUAUGUAAUGUCGUAUUAAUGUUUUGAUGUACAAGUGUAUGCUAUAAGAUGAUCGUGAUAAUCGUAGAAGUGUUAAAUUUGAAAAUCUUACAUUAAUUUUUGUAUAAUUUCUUGCUGUUGCCUGUUACAUAUUUCAUAACAAUAAAUGAUUCAAAAUAAUAUUAAAUUUUGUCAUUUUAAUAUCUUAAAAUAUAUACUGUAUGAUUUUUUUAAGUAUAUAUUCGUUAUUAAUAAGUAAUAAUAAAAAAAAAAAACAAAAAAUUUUUUUUAAAUUAAUUGAUAAUAAAUAAGUGAUUUUUUGCAUAUAUUUUAUAGAUCUGUAUAAGUGUUUUAUUUUUGCAUAUUAGGUGAUCCAGGCCCUAUAAUAACAAUUAUUAUAAACAAUUGCUUUAUUGUUUUUGUACCUAAAGUUCAAUUUAAAUAACAUGGUUUAAAAUUCUAAAAAAUGUGAACUAGGUUCAAUUAGGUAAUUUGAAUGUAAGUUAUAAUGCAAUGAUAUUAAAUAAAUCGAUAGAAAUGUAUAGGAAUUCUUUAAAUAACAUCAUACAAUACAUUUUUAUUGCAUACGAAUCCCAGUCACACAGUUAUACGUAUGUCUAAAUAUAUUAUAAUAAGUCAAAUUAGCUACAUGUUUCUAAGUGUUGAUUUUUUAAAUUGUUUUAAAACAAGUUUGGAACUUAAUCUAUUUAUUUAUAUAUAAUACCUUCUAAGUUAACAUAUUGUAUCGAUAGUAACUCCUGUUAGGAGAAAUAUAUUGUGCUUAUACUUACAGCCUUAUUUGUUUUUCUUACACGCGAAUCUCUACAGUAAUACAUCAUAUUAUUAUUAUUAUGCUAUGCCUAUUAUAUUAUGUUUUAAUGAAGUAUCGUCAAUCAUUAUGUUAUAACCAUCCAAUACUAUGCAAACAAAUUAUAUUCUACUUGUAGUGUUACACACAGUUAUAAUAUUAUUGAUUAAAUAAACGAAAUGCUAUAGUAUUAUAA